This is a long non-coding RNA of Oncorhynchus tshawytscha (Chinook salmon), 2542 nucleotides long. Lineage: Eukaryota; Metazoa; Chordata; Actinopteri; Salmoniformes; Salmonidae. The record is from Ensembl.
GUCAAAUCAGUGAGCAGCUGCUCUUGAUCAUUGUCACAAAGCUACACCAUCCCACUCGUGUUAGAAGUUCAGAACGAGAAAGUGUAGGCUAUUUAGAAAUAAUGACGCACAAAUUGAAAGGCAUUCAAUGAAAUUAGGAUUUCUAUCAGCCUAAUUGAGGUGUAUAGGUGGUGAGCCGUAGCAAGCUAUCUGCAUGAGUUUUCGAGAUGAUAGAUCUCUGAGAAGCUGUUUUUUUGUUGCUUGUUUAAAAAAAUAUAUAUAUUGUGUAUUUUUACUUCUUCUGAAAACAUUUACGUUUCUUGGCAAUGUCAAUUCUUGCAAAUUUUCACAAAAUACUGACUUUCAUGUCCGCUAGCUGGACAGGCAAACGCCGCGGAGAACUAAACUGUAAACCAAUUAAAACGUGUGUACUAUUCAUGGUACGAUCUACAAUCACGUUAUCCGUAACUAAUGUAGAGACAGCUGGUAAUGAAGAGUUCGACAGAGAUCUCCGUCUGACACUGCUAUCAGGUAAAUAAUGUUUUAUUUAUUUGUAAUCUAACCAUUUCGUUAUAGAAACGUGAUACCAUCAACCCAAGCUGUAAAAUGAUUCCUAAUUUAGAACACAGCAAUCUUAGUAAUGUAGCUAGCUUGUUGGUUAGCUAGCUAGUUACAACAAGUAGAUCUGUUGCUAGCUACCUGAAGCAGAUAGCCUUAUCACUAGCUAGCAUGUCAUUCCACGACAAUUCCACGAAUUUUAGCUAUAAAUUUAUUCCAAGUAAUAAUUUAAGAUUACAAAAAAUCUAUAGGACAAGUAGUGUACAUCUACUUCAGUCAUCAGGGCAGGACCCACUAAUUUCAUUCAUACUGACAAAUAGUAAAUGCAACUUUAUCCCUGUCAAUAGUUGGAGUUGGAUGAAAACAUAGCACCCGGCCUCAGACUUUUAGGAUGUUCAUUUUCUAGCUCACAAAUUACAUUAUUUUGCUGUGAUGAUUUACUGUAUUUAGUUUAUUCUUGCCUUUCACUUUUGUGUCACAUGAUCUGUUUAGCUCUCAUUUGUCCUGCUCCCAGAGAUUAACCAAGUGCUAUUCACCAAGCAUGGACUGAUUCACUCACCUGUGAGGAGAACCAUCCUACAGCAGUUUGAACUAGACCUGCCGUCACUGUUUAGAUUUUGGGACCACAUAUGCAUUUGCCUGUUGUCUUUUCUUUGUGGAUUCUAUCUUACACAGUCUAGUGCAUUUUAGAGUUCAAGAACACCAACUGCAGAUAAAAGUGGUUGUUUGAGCAUCUUGAAGACUAAAUUCAAUGUAGAAUCAGUGUAACCGGUGACAAACAGAUUAUUUUACUAUUGUAACAAGCAGUGGUGAGAAUUCUAUUGUCCUCGUCAGGAGCCCAGACUUUUGCCAUAGAUGGUUGAGUUCUUGUCUCUGGACCACACAAGCUUCAGUCAGCUACAUUGGUGAUCAGAGUGGGAUCCUUUUGAUAUGCCUAUGAGGCCUGGGCACACAAAUGCUCCUAGAGAGAAGGUGGAAUACUAAAGUAUGUGUUGAUGACAGGUCUGCAGUCUCCAGAGGCCCAUGCUUUUGGCACUGAUGGAAAAGCUCUCAUUUCUUGACUGCAAUAUUGUAAGAUUGUGCCCUCCACAGCACUUGAUAUACAUUAAUUGGUAGGUUACGCUAUAUUUAUGUAGCCAGGUGGUAAAAGCGCAUAGCUGUAUUCAUUUUAAUCCACUAGUUGACACCAUCCCUUUUAAGAGAUUCAUAAACAAGGUGUGCCCGCGGUUAUGGGAUUGCGCAGUGUGUAAGAGUGAGAACAAGCAAUUACACUGGAGACCUGUUGAAAUCCAUCGUGGAUCCAAUGUUACUUUAGAUGGGUAAAUUACACUUUAUCUUCCUCUUGUACCGGAAUAUAUCUUAUUUUGCAUCAUCUGCAGUGUUUUAAUAGUUCAUUUUGUAAUAUUUAUGCCAGACUGUCAUGUUAGCCUGUUGAUACUUUCAGAUUGACAUGAGGAUGUUAGCUUCUUGCUAGCUGAAUACCAGUGCUCUCAGAACCACGUCGUGAAGUUGAUGAUAACAUUACUUGAAGUUGCAGUAUGGGUGAGAUGAGGAUCUACUGUUCCAUGUGGGGUUAGUGCAUCACCUGGACAGUGUGUUUAAAGUAGAGCCACUACAGUUUAUGCAUUUCACUUUGGACUUGUAGUACUCCGAUUGUUUUAUGCACUUAAUUUAUUUCACUUGAUUGUGAUUUGGACUGAACAUUACUUUAUGGUGACUUCAUCUUGUGGUGAUUUCCCUUCUACAUUAUCCUAUUUUAAAUUUAAGUUUUGACAGAAUAAACAACCCCAAAUUAGUUUGUCUUGUGCUGGGUUUACUUUCGCCAGGCUACAUUUAUAUACUGCUUAAGACACCUUUGCUAUUUGCCUCUGUACUCAAUAAAUGGCGCAUCAUUAUUUGUGAAGGUUUUCUUUGUUCAUAUGUAUAUACAUUAUGGAAAACAUGUCGCACACUCAGUCAUAAUUAGUCAAAUAAUGAAUGUAUUGGCAAGAUUUUGGCACCGUCA